CGAAGGGCGGGCCGCGCUCACUGCCGGUUGAUUGACAGGGACGAGAUGUGCCCCGCUGAAAGCGCCGAGGGGGGAGUCGCGCGCGCGGGCUCAGUGCGGGAGGCGCUAUCUCUGUUGUACAAACUGUGUGUUGCAAAGUGAACUGAAAACUGAAUCCCAAUCAAAAGGGCUGAGCUGCCUCAUAGUGAUCUGGAUUAUGAGUGAUCUUGGAAGGGCAUCUGCACCGUAAAUGCAGAUAUGAAGAGCCCCAGAGCCACUGGACUGGAACAUUCUCAGAAUGAGGGCUUUUCAGCUCUUUGAUUAUUUUUAUUAGGUUGUUUGGGCUCAUACUGUAUGUUUAAUAUUUAUUAUUAUUAAAAAAUAAGUAUUUGGA
This is a long non-coding RNA of Malaclemys terrapin pileata, 373 nucleotides long. RefSeq lists it as uncharacterized. The record is from RefSeq and is a predicted model, not a curated record. The transcript is spliced from 3 exons. Lineage: Eukaryota; Metazoa; Chordata; Testudines; Emydidae.